CUUACCUGCAGUCAGCCUGCUUGAGUGAAGAAUGGUGACUCAGAGAGGGGCUUUAAUCACAGGCAGGAGAGGAGAAUAUUACUAUGUUUUCCCAGCUCAGUAAGAACCAAGUGGCCAUUUACCAUCUCCCGAAUGCCCAACUGCCUUUCUCAGCAGGAUGAGAAAUUGCUUUGCUCUUCAAGGCACAAGUCCUCAAGGAGCGUCAGGGGAAUGAAUGGAGAACAGGGUGAAGACCUGAGUCCUUCUAAUAAUUCCUCUCCCCACCUUGAUCUGCUCUGGCUGGCUUUGGUUCAGUUGCCCUCCUGCUGACAGGGAUUGCCUUCACGUUCUAAGCCAGUCUAUCAGAUUUUCCAAGAAGAUCUUCCUUUGGAAUCCCUCCAUGAGAAAUGAUUUUGCUCAGAGAAAACUCCUGCAUCUUAACUCAGACUGAUUGGAUUAAAAAUGGCAGCGGCAGCAGCAGCAUCAUUGGCCAAAGGCUCCAUUACAUUUAGUUCUAGCUACUGGCAAAUUGACUGCAACUGCGGUAACAAGAUUAUACCUUCCUGCUCUUUCCCACCGAGAGAGCCUCCAUC
Non-coding RNA from Pantherophis guttatus, 572 nucleotides. The record is from RefSeq and is a predicted model, not a curated record. Lineage: Eukaryota; Metazoa; Chordata; Lepidosauria; Squamata; Colubridae.